GAGUUUGAUCCUGGCUCAGAACGAACGCUGGAGGCAGGCCUAACACAUGCAAGUCGAGCGCGCCUUUCGGGGUGAGCGGCGGACGGGUUAGUAACGCGUGGGAACGUACCCUUUUCUGCGGAAUAGCCUCUGGAAACGGAGAGUAAUACCGCAUACGCCCUUCGGGGGAAAGAUUUAUCGGAGAAGGAUCGGCCCGCGUUAGAUUAGAUAGUUGGUGGGGUAACGGCUUACCAAGUCUACGAUCUAUAGCUGGUUUUAGAGGAUGAUCAGCAACACUGGGACUGAGACACGGCCCAGACUCCUACGGGAGGCAGCAGUGGGGAAUCUUGGACAAUGGGCGCAAGCCUGAUCCAGCCAUGCCGCGUGAGUGAAGAAGGCCUUAGGGUCGUAAAGCUCUUUCGCCUGUGAUGAUAAUGACAGUAGCAGGUAAAGAAACCCCGGCUAACUCCGUGCCAGCAGCCGCGGUAAUACGGAGGGGGUUAGCGUUGUUCGGAAUUACUGGGCGUAAAGCGCGCGUAGGCGGAUUGGAAAGUUGGGGGUGAAAUCCCGAGGCUCAAGCUCGGAACUGACUCCAAAACUCCCAGUCUAAAGUUCGAGAGAGGUGAGUGGAAUUCCAAGUGUAGGGGUG
RNAcentral lists this ribosomal RNA (628 nucleotides) under uncultured bacterium. RNAcentral's name for it is "bacterial SSU rRNA". It matches the Rfam family "Bacterial small subunit ribosomal RNA", at positions 9 to 683 of the family's 1533-position model. The record is from RNAcentral.